GCCCCUUUAGCUCAGUGGAUAGAGCAUCGGCCUCCGGAGCCGAGUGCAGGCGUUCGAGUCGCCUAAGGGGCACCA
RNAcentral lists this transfer RNA (75 nucleotides) under Chloroflexota bacterium. RNAcentral's name for it is "Chloroflexi bacterium (anaerobic digester metagenome) tRNA-Arg". It matches the Rfam family "tRNA". From Rfam's summary of the family: Transfer RNA (tRNA) molecules are approximately 80 nucleotides in length. Their secondary structure includes four short double-helical elements and three loops (D, anti-codon, and T loops). The record is from RNAcentral. Lineage: Bacteria; Bacillati; Chloroflexota.